AUGAACGCUGGCGGCGUGCCUAAUACCUGCAAGUCGAGCGAACAGAUGAGGAGCUUGCUCCUCUGACGUUAGCGGCGGACGGGUGAGUAACACGUGGAUAACCUACCUAUAAGACUGGGAUAACUUCGGGAAACCGGAGCUAAUACCGGAUAAUAUAUUGAACCGCAUGGUUCAAUAGUGAAAGACGGUUUUGCUGUCACUUAUAGAUGGAUCCGCGCCGCAUUAGCUAGUUGGUAAGGUAACGGCUUACCAAGGCAACGAUGCGUAGCCGACCUGAGAGGGUGAACGGCCACACUGGAACUGAGACACGGUCCAGACUCCUACGGGAGGCAGCAGUAGGGAAUCUUCCGCAAUGGGCGAAAGCCUGACGGAGCAACGCCGCGUGAGUGAUGAAGGUCUUCGGAUCGUAAAACUCUGUUAUUAGGGAAGAACAAAUGUGUAAGUAACUAUGCACGUCUUGACGGUACCUAAUCAGAAAGCCACGGCUAACUACGUG
Molecule: ribosomal RNA, 496 nt
Filed under: uncultured bacterium
Lineage: Bacteria
Description: partial 16S ribosomal RNA
Rfam family: Bacterial small subunit ribosomal RNA
Source: RNAcentral